UGGGGAAUAUUGGACAAUGGGCGCAAGCCUGAUCCAGCCAUGCCGCGUGAGUGACGAAGGUCUUCGGAUUGUAAAGCUCUUUUAGCAGGGAAGAUAAUGACGGUACCUGCAGAAUAAGCCCCGGCUAACUUCGUGCCAGCAGCCGCGGUAAUACGAAGGGGGCUAGCGUUGUUCGGAAUUACUGGGCGUAAAGCGCACGUAGGCGGAUUGAUAAGUUAGAGGUGAAAUCCCGGGGCUCAACCUCGGAACUGCCUUUGAUACUGUUAGUCUCGAGUCCGAUAGAGGUGAGUGGAAUUCCUAGUGUAGAGGUGAAAUUCGUAGAUAUUAGGAAGAACACCAGUGGCGAAGGCGGCUCACUGGAUCGGUACUGACGCUGAGGUGCGAAAGCGUGGGGAGCAAACAGGAUUAGAUACCCGAGUAGUCCCUGAGCGGGCUGGCAAGGCGCAU
Molecule: ribosomal RNA, 447 nt
Filed under: uncultured bacterium
Lineage: Bacteria
Description: bacterial SSU rRNA
Rfam family: Bacterial small subunit ribosomal RNA
Source: RNAcentral